AGUGAACGCUGGCGGUAGGCCUAACACAUGCAAGUCGAACGGCAGCACAGUAAGAGCUUGCUCUUACGGGUGGCGAGUGGCGGACGGGUGAGGAAUACAUCGGAAUCUACUUUUUCGUGGGGGAUAACGUAGGGACACUUACGCUAAUACCGCAUACGACCUACGGGUGAAAGCAGGGGAUCUUCGGACCUUGCGCGAUUGAAUGAGCCGAUGUCGGAUUAGCUAGUUGGCGGGGUAAAGGCCCACCAAGGCGACGAUCCGUAGCUAGUCUGAGAGGAUGAUCAGCCACACUGGAACUGAGACACGGUCCAGACUCCUACGGGAGGCAGCAGUGGGGAAUAUUGGACAAUGGGCGCAAGCCUGAUCCAGCCAUACCGCGUGAGUGAAGAAGGCCUUCGGGUUGUAAAGCCCUUUUGUUGGGAAAGAAAAGCAGCAGGUUAAUACCCCGCUGUUCUGACGGUACCCAAAGAAUAAGCACCGGCUAACUUCGUG
Molecule: ribosomal RNA, 492 nt
Filed under: uncultured bacterium
Lineage: Bacteria
Description: partial 16S ribosomal RNA
Rfam family: Bacterial small subunit ribosomal RNA
Source: RNAcentral